RNAcentral lists this transfer RNA (65 nucleotides) under Palomena angulosa. RNAcentral's name for it is "tRNA-Pro". The record is from RNAcentral. Lineage: Eukaryota; Metazoa; Arthropoda; Insecta; Hemiptera; Pentatomidae.
CAGUAAAUAUUUUAAUUUAAAAUAUUAAUUUUGGAGAUUAAAGAUAAGUUUGGGCUUUUUACUGA